RNAcentral lists this ribosomal RNA (256 nucleotides) under uncultured bacterium. RNAcentral describes it as "partial 16S ribosomal RNA". It matches the Rfam family "Bacterial small subunit ribosomal RNA", at positions 521 to 776 of the family's 1533-position model. The record is from RNAcentral.
UAAUACAGAGGGUGCGAGCGUUAAUCGGAAUUACUGGGCGUAAAGCGCACGCAGGCGGCUUUGCAAGUCGGGUGUGAAAUCCCCGGGCUCAACCUGGGAACUGCGUUUGGUACUGGCAAGCUAGAGUACGGCAGAGGGGGGUGGAAUUCCACGUGUAGCAGUGAAAUGCGUAGAGAUGUGGAGGAACACCGAUGGCGAAGGCAGCCCCCUGGGCCGAUACUGACGCUCAGGCACGAAAGCGUGGGGAGCAAACAGG